RNAcentral lists this ribosomal RNA (314 nucleotides) under uncultured bacterium. RNAcentral's name for it is "bacterial SSU rRNA". It matches the Rfam family "Bacterial small subunit ribosomal RNA", at positions 28 to 346 of the family's 1533-position model. The record is from RNAcentral.
GAUUAACGUUGGUAGUAUGCCUAACACAUGCAAGUCGAGCGGAAAGUAGUAGCAAUAUUGCUUUUAGCGGCACACGGGUGAGUAAUGCUUAUCUAACUUGCCAAUUAGUGGGGGAUAACCAGAGGAAAGUUUGGCUAAUACCGCAUUUGUUGCUUUGGCAAUGAAAGGAGGUCGCAAGACUUUCGCUAAUUGAUAGGGAGUAAGUCGCAUCAGUUAGUUGGUGGGGUAAGUGGCCGACCAAGACUAUGACGCGUAGCUAGGCUGAGAGGCUGAUUGGCCACAAGGAACUGAGACACGGUCCUACUCCCAAGGGA